UACGAGGGGGGCGAGCGUUGUUCGGAAUUAUUGGGCGUAAAGGGUGCGUAGGCGGUUUGGUAAGUCUUGUGUGAAAUCUACAGGCUCAACUUGUAGUCUGCACGAGAAACUGCCGGGCUUGAGUAUGGGAGAGGUGAGUGGAAUUCCUGGUGUAGCGGUGAAAUGCGUAGAUAUCGGGAGGAACACCUGUGGCGAAAGCGGCUCACUGGACCAUAACUGACGCUGAUGCACGAAAGCUAGGGGAGCAAACAGG
This 253-nucleotide ribosomal RNA is filed under the name uncultured bacterium. RNAcentral describes it as "partial 16S ribosomal RNA". It matches the Rfam family "Bacterial small subunit ribosomal RNA", at positions 524 to 776 of the family's 1533-position model. The record is from RNAcentral.